UGAGAAACGGGAAGAGGGAAGGGGCAGAAAAUUUUCUGGAACCAGGGGGCUGCACGAUGCAAAAAUUCACUGGCGAUCUACCAACAAGGUUGCCAUCUGUUGCUCUGUCCUCCUCGCCUUUCUUUCACUCAUCUUUCAUCUCCCUUGAUUGCUGCCUCUUCCUCCUUUCUGCAUCAUCAACUCGUCUCCUUCAUUUUCUGUUUUGUAUCUCAUGGUGGUGCAUGCUAUCCGCGUAGUUUAAGCAAGAAAUUGGGACCACGAGGAAUUGGAAAUACGGUUUAAUGGAAGAUGGUGGUGGGGGUGUCCGAUUGAAGUAGUAGUACCGUUAGCUCUUGGUGUGCUAUGGUAAUAUCGAGCUUGCUUGUUAUUCGUGGUUUUGGCUACACUUGUCAUUCGUGGGCAUUGUUCCUGCGCUUGUUAUUCGUGGCUUCGGCAGCACUUGUAUUCGUGGCUUCAGCUGCGCUUGUAUUGGUGCGCCAUGGUUAAUAUCGAGCUUGCUUGAUACUUGUGGGCAUUGUUCCCACACUUGUUUCAUAGCUUUAGCUAUGCUUGUACUCAUGGUUUUAGCCACGCUUGUUGUUUACUUACUCUCGUGAAUUGUGUAUCCACGCUUGUUCGUUCCAUUGAAGUCUUCCAUUGAAAAAUAUCACAAAUGUUGUUAAAGUGCCUUGUAAAUUUUCCAUAUUAAAAAUGUUUUAUAAUUAUAUAUAUUUCAUGUUUUAAUAUUUUUUAAAAAAAGAAAUCAUGAAUCCGUCAGUUAUCUUGUUGUAUUUGUACAAGUUAUUAUUUUAAGAUUUGUUUUAUCUUUUUCUUAUUAACAGAGGGCUAUUCAUGAGUAAAAUUUAUUUUGUCCUUGGAUAGCACUGCUAACCUUGCAUCUUCAACUGAAUAGGGGGGAAAAAGUUCUCAUUACUGAUCAAAGCUUAAAACAACUGCUAAUUGAUGUAAAACUAAGUUACAUUUAUGUUAUUGUUUAUUUAUGGGUUUUAGAUCCUUCACAUAAUCUAAGUAUAUGAAUAUAUGUUCGUAUUGAUGUUGAGAGGAGCUCCUUAUUUUGUGUUGUGCCUGCGAGUUAUUUGCGAAGUUCUACUAAUGGCCUUAUAUUUUGAUUACAAGAGAUUUAUUCUAUAUGAAUGGUAUUCUAAUUAUUAUGGCAAGUGUUUAUUCAUAUGUUUUAAGGCUUUAGGAAUGAGUUUUCUCAUAUUCUAUGCUGGUCACUCCUAAAUUUUUGGGGUGUGACAACCAACCUUAACAAUUGUAAGCAUAAGGAAAUGAAAGAAAUUGAAAAAAGCAUGCGUACGUGUUCUUGUUCUUGCAAGUAAUUGAAAGAUAAAUCUGAAGGCUGAGAUGAAAGAUGUAGUCGCUUCAGCUCUACCAUUUGUUGAGCAGUCUCAGAGGCCAAGUCUUGUUGAUUCAUGCCAUUAGGCAUCGGCUCCCAGUUGAUCUCAGUAUGAAUUGCUUCUGCCAUCUAAACUCUAAAGAAGGGGGAAAAAAGUUUAUUUGCUCUGCUCAGCACUCCACGCCACACUCGUUGAAGAAGGCUUAGGUCUUGUAUGUAUUAGUAGUCAAGGGUAUAAAGGAAUCCAUAAAUAAUUAGAAUGUUGGGGAACACUGUGUGCCAGGACGAGCGAUAAAACUAGUGGCACCUUCGCAUAAUUCUAUGGGGGUCAUACAUUUAAAUCCAACAUAAAUAUACCUACCCUGCAAUAUUUUACUGCUUAUGUCACCAAAAAUAAUGAAUGAUUUAAUAGUAAAGAAGGUGCGUGCUGUGGCUUACAUUAUUUGAUGUUCAAGGCAUGGAUAAAAUUUAAAAUUUUCUAAUUGCUUAAUGAACAUUGGAAUUCGUCAAA
Long non-coding RNA from Neltuma alba, 1850 nucleotides. RefSeq lists it as uncharacterized. The transcript has 2 exons. The record is from RefSeq and is a predicted model, not a curated record. NCBI's taxonomy places the organism in Eukaryota, Viridiplantae, Streptophyta, Magnoliopsida, Fabales, Fabaceae.